GGUACAUAUUUCUUAUUGUUGGUGAUGUAUGGUUUGAGUGCUAUUCCAUUUGCAUACCUAUUCAGUUACUUCAGGAACACAACUGCAGGCGCUUUUGCCUUACUUGUAGUACUCAGUAUAUUGAUUGGUUCAGUAAUGUCUCCGGUGGUGUACUCUAUGAUAUUGUUUGAGAGCUACAAGUCUACUGGGAAAGUGCUGAAGUACUUAUUCGAAUUUGUACCUCACUUCACAAUUACAUAUGCAUUUGGACGCUUCUCAUAUCUUGUUCUCACAAACAAUAAGUGCAGACUGAAGAAAUCUGAUUGUAAUAGCAUUUCUGGAAGUUCUGACUUAUGCUGCUGUAAGUUUCUGCAUUACUUUAUAGAUAUGAAAUCUGUAAUAUUGUUUGUAAACCUAGCCUAGUUUCCAGUUGAUAAUUUGUGGAUAACGGCAACAUGGAAUUUAUAUAUAUCUUUAUUUAUUUAUUUUUAGUAGAGUUAAAACUUAGUAGUGUGUUUUGAGGUUGGUGUUCAGAUUUCUCCAGUUCCAUUCUUACAUAUUAAAUAACUUUUACUGCA
Molecule: non-coding RNA, 557 nt
Organism: Zootermopsis nevadensis
Lineage: Eukaryota; Metazoa; Arthropoda; Insecta; Blattodea; Termopsidae
Source: RefSeq, a predicted model, not a curated record